Molecule: microRNA precursor, 206 nt
Organism: Oryza sativa Japonica Group (Japanese rice)
Lineage: Eukaryota; Viridiplantae; Streptophyta; Magnoliopsida; Poales; Poaceae
Rfam family: MIR812 microRNA precursor family
Source: Rfam
AAAAAGACAAACAGUGGGUUUUCGUGACAACAUUUGACUGUCCGUCUUAUAUGAAAAUUUUUUAUAAUUAGUAUUUUCAUUGUUGUUAGAUGAUAAAACAUGAUUAAUGCUUUAUGCGUGACUUAUUUUUUUAAUUUUUUUCAUAAUUUUUUUCAAAUAAGACGGACGGUCAAACGUUGGACACGGAAACCAGGGUUUGUCUUUUU